This is a long non-coding RNA of Bufo gargarizans (Asiatic toad), 1781 nucleotides long. RefSeq lists it as uncharacterized. Lineage: Eukaryota; Metazoa; Chordata; Amphibia; Anura; Bufonidae. The record is from RefSeq and is a predicted model, not a curated record. The transcript has 3 exons.
GGCCUUGGUGGUUGCAAUUAUGGUGAGCUGGUUUUUGGAUCUAGGUGGAUUUAAAACAAAGGGGAAAACAAAAGCGAACAAAUAAUCCCUAUUUGUGUUAGGGAAACAAAGAAUGAUCUGAAUGCGUGGCAGAUGCCUGGGGACAGUGAUUGUGGACUAGUUUUCACUUCACGUUUUGCAUAAGUCCAGGUCUUCUGAGGGUUUGAGAUCCAUUCUUCUUGCAUAGUCGGGAUUUCUUUCUUCUUUCUUGUAGUGGUUGUGUCUACGUUGUUAAGUUGUAAUUGUUUGAGCAAUUUUUGCCCUUCAUCUGUAUUGUGGAUGAUGUGGGUUGUUCCUUCUUUUUGUACGAUUAACUUAGUAGGAAAUCCCCAUCUGUAGGGUAUCUUAUUUUCUCUCAGGCAUGAGUUUAUUGGAUGGAAUUUUUUCCUUUCCAGUAUAGUUGCUUGUGAAAGGUCUGUGAAAAGAAUAACGUGCCUGUAUGGAUCGGGUAGAGAUUGGAGUUUUUUGCCGCAGACAUGAAUUCUUCUUUGACAUGGUAGAAGUGAAUACGGGCAAGGACGUCUCUCGACUUGUUUUCUUGGAUGUUUUGGGUUUUGGAAGUCUGUGUGCUCUAUCAACAGUAAGGUGAGGCUUCUGGUAGCAGGGCCUGCAUAAGUUUUUGUAGAUAUUUAGAAAAUUCUCCUGGGGACACUGUCUCAGGGAUCCCCCUAAAUUUGACAGUGUUUCGCUUAGAGCAGUCUUCUAGGUCUGCUAAUUUCGCUUUAAUGGCUGUGAUGUCGUCUUGUUGGGAGUUAUGUGCAUCUACUAGGGUAUUGUGUGCAUUUGCGUAUUCCGCCAUUUUGUUUUCAAUGGGAUUUACUCUCUCUCCGAACUCAUCUAGGUUUGUGGAAAUAGCGUUGCACAUUUGUGCUAUGUCAGCUUUGAUGGAGCACUUUAAAGCCAUCAGCAUUUCUUUCAUCAAAUCUACUGUGAUGACGUCAUUAGAAGUGGGUAUAUGGGCAAAUACUCCCAUGGUGUGGGGUGAUAGAGAAGUGGACGCACCUACCUCAUGUGAAGGGGAUUGAUUGUUGUCCAUCCCUGGUUUUUGCUUGGCUGGACUUCUAUUUUUUUUUUAGGUAUCUGAGAAAGCUGCAUCUUUUUCUUCUUGCAGUAUCUCCUGCUGAGUUAUAUUGAAGCUUUUUGCUCUCUGUAUCGAUCUUGCAGGUUUGGUGUUUUUAAAACCAGUUGUGGUUGUGUCUCUGCCUGGAGUCUUUUCAGCUUUUGAUAAAUGUUUUGUACUCCUCCUAUCGUCUCUCUCCUCUAUAGAUGCCGAGGGGGAGCUGCUGCAGCUGGAGGAGCGUGAGGUUUGAUGCAUGUGCUUCUCCGCUGGGAGGAAGACGUCGGCGAGGUGCUUCGGGGGCUCCCUUCUUCUACUACUCUUCACCAUGAUGCCGAGGUGGAGCUGCUGCAGCUGGAGGAGCGUGAGGUUUGACGCGUGUGCUUCUCCGCUGCGAGGAAGACGUCGGCGAGGUGCUUCGGGGGCUCCCUUCUUCUACUACUCUUCACCAUGGAAGAGCUGACAAGCAUUUGCUAAACUGAAGGCAAUGACGGAGAGGUUCUCCACAGGUGUGUGUUUGGCAAUGGGAAUGGCAAUUAAUCAUGCUGAAUCAACCUCCAGGAAUUUCUACACCCAAACCUCCAAAUUUUCUGAGAUCUGGUUCCCUCAAGGCCUCUAAGAAUAUGUUCUCUGAGUACAAACUCAUGCCUUAUAUAAUACAGAUGUAUCCUCUAGUUUGUUCAUA